GAGCUUGCUCCCUGAUGUUAGCGGCGGACGGGUGAGUAACACGUGGGUAACCUGCCUGUAAGACUGGGAUAACUCCGGGAAACCGGGGCUAAUACCGGAUGGUUGUCUGAACCGCAUGGUUCAGACAUAAAAGGUGGCUUCGGCUACCACUUACAGAUGGACCCGCGGCGCAUUAGCUAGUUGGUGAGGUAACGGCUCACCAAGGCGACGAUGCGUAGCCGACCUGAGAGGGUGAUCGGCCACACUGGGACUGAGACACGGCCCAGACUCCUACGGGAGGCAGCAGUAGGGAAUCUUCCGCAAUGGACGAAAGUCUGACGGAGCAACGCCGCGUGAGUGAUGAAGGUUUUCGGAUCGUAAAGCUCUGUUGUUAGGGAAGAACAAGUGCCGUUCAAAUAGGGCGGCACCUUGACGGUACCUAACCAGAAAGCCACGGC
RNAcentral lists this ribosomal RNA (437 nucleotides) under Bacillus sp. (in: firmicutes). RNAcentral describes it as "bacterial SSU rRNA". It matches the Rfam family "Bacterial small subunit ribosomal RNA", at positions 76 to 497 of the family's 1533-position model. The record is from RNAcentral. Lineage: Bacteria; Bacillati; Bacillota; Bacilli; Caryophanales; Bacillaceae.